UACGAAGGGGGCUAGCGUUGCUCGGAAUUAUUGGGCGUAAAGGGCGCGUAGGCGGCCAUGCGUGUCUUUCGUGAAAUCCCUCGGCUUAACUGAGGACGUGCGGAAGAAACUGCAAGGCUUGAGUCCGGGAUAGGGGGGUGGAAUUCCCAGUGUAGCGGUGAAAUGCGUAGAUAUUGGGAGGAACACCGGUGGCGAAGGCGGCCCCCUGGACCGGUACUGACGCUGAGGCGCGAAAGCGUGGGUAGCAAACGGG
RNAcentral lists this ribosomal RNA (253 nucleotides) under uncultured bacterium. RNAcentral describes it as "partial 16S ribosomal RNA". It matches the Rfam family "Bacterial small subunit ribosomal RNA", at positions 524 to 776 of the family's 1533-position model. The record is from RNAcentral.